Molecule: ribosomal RNA, 530 nt
Filed under: Nocardia otitidiscaviarum
Lineage: Bacteria; Bacillati; Actinomycetota; Actinomycetes; Mycobacteriales; Nocardiaceae
Description: bacterial SSU rRNA
Rfam family: Bacterial small subunit ribosomal RNA
Source: RNAcentral
GAACGCUGGCGGCGUGCUUAACACAUGCAAGUCGAGCGGUAAGGCCCUUCGGGGUACACGAGCGGCGAACGGGUGAGUAACACGUGGGUGAUCUGCCUCGCACUCUGGGAUAAGCCUGGGAAACUGGGUCUAAUACCGGAUAUGACCACGGGAUGCAUGUUCUGUGGUGGAAAGGUUUACUGGUGCGAGAUGGGCCCGCGGCCUAUCAGCUUGUUGGUGGGGUAACGGCCCACCAAGGCGACGACGGGUAGCCGGCCUGAGAGGGCGAACGGCCACACUGGGACUGAGACACGGCCCAGACUCCUACGGGAGGCAGCAGUGGGGAAUAUUGCACAAUGGGCGAAAGCCUGAUGCAGCGACGCCGCGUGAGGGACGACGGCCUUCGGGUUGUAAACCUCUUUCGACAGGGACGAAGCGAAAGUGACGGUACCUGUAUAAGAAGCACCGGCCAACUACGUGCCAGCAGCCGCGGUAAUACGUAGGGUGCGAGCGUUGUCCGGAAUUACUGGGCGUAAAGAGCUUGUAGGCGG